GUUGUAUGGUUAAGUGACUAAGCGUACACGGUGGAUGCCUUGGCAGUCAGAGGCGAUGAAAGACGUAGUAACUUGCGAUAAGCCCAGAUUAGGUAGUAACAACCAUUUGAGUCUGGGAUUUCUGAAUGGGGAAACCCACGUGCAUAAGCACGUAUCCUUACCUGAAUACAUAGGGUAAGGAGGCGAACCGGGGGAACUGAAACAUCUAAGUACCCCGAGGAAAAGAAAUCAACCGAGAUUCCGAAAGUAGCGGCGAGCGAAAUUGGACUAGCCCUUAAGCUUUACACGCGUUAGACGAACGGUCUGGAAAGUCCGACGAUACAGGGUGAUAGUCCCGUAGUUGACGACGUGUGUUCAGUGAAAUCGAGUAGGGCGGGACACGUGAUAUCCUGUCUGAAUAUGGGGGGACCAUCCUCCAAGGCUAAAUACUACUGACUGACCGAUAGUGAACCAGUACCGUGAGGGAAAGGCGAAAAGAACCCCUGUGAGGGGAGUGAAAUAGAACCUGAAACCGUGUACGUACAAGCAGUAGGAGCAGGCUUGUCCUGUGACUGCGUACCUUUUGUAUAAUGGGUCAGCGACUUAUAUUCAGUGGCAAGGUUAACCAUCUAGGGGAGCCGUAGGGAAACCGAGUCUUAACUGGGCGUUCAGUCUCUGGAUAUAGACCCGAAACCAGGUGAUCUAGCCAUGGGCAGGUUGAAGGUUGAGUAACAUCAACUGGAGGACCGAACCGACUAAUGUUGAAAAAUUAGCGGAUGACUUGUGGCUAGGGGUGAAAGGCCAAUCAAACCUGGAGAUAGCUGGUUCUCCCCGAAAGCUAUUUAGGUAGCGCCUCGGACGAAUACUACUGGGGGUAGAGCACUGUUAAGGCUAGGGGGUCAUCCCGACUUACCAACCCUUUGCAAACUCCGAAUACCAGUAAGUACUAUCCGGGAGACACACGGCGGGUGCUAACGUCCGUCGUGGAGAGGGAAACAACCCAGACCGCCAGCUAAGGUCCCAAAUUACUACUAAGUGGGAAACGAUGUGGGAAGGCUCAGACAGCCAGGAUGUUGGCUUAGAAGCAGCCAUCAUUUAUUAAAGAAAGCGUAAUAGCUCACUGGUCGAGUCGGCCUGCGCGGAAGAUGUAACGGGGCUAAGUAGUAAACCGAAGCUGCGGCAAUGUGCUUUUGCACAUUGGGUAGGGGAGCGUUCUGUAAGCGGUUGAAGGUGUGUGGUAACGCAUGCUGGACGUAUCAGAAGUGCGAAUGCUGACAUGAGUAACGAUAAAGGGGGUGAAAAACCUCCUCGCCGGAAGACCAAGGGUUCCUGUCCAACGUUAAUCGGGGCAGGGUAAGUCGACCCCUAAGGCGAGGCCGAAAGGCGUAGUCGAUGGGAAACGGGUUAAUAUUCCCGUACUUCUUACAAUUGCGAUGGGGGGACGGAGAAGGCUAGGUGGGCCUGGCGACGGUUGUCCAGGUUCAAGUGCGUAGGCUUAAGAGUUAGGUAAAUCCGGCUCUUUUUAAGGCUGAGACACGACGUCGAGCACCUACGGGUGUGAAGUCAUUGAUGCCAUGCUUCCAGGAAAAGCCUCUAAGCUUCAGAUUGUAAGGAAUCGUACCCCAAACCGACACAGGUGGUCGGGUAGAGAAUACCAAGGCGCUUGAGAGAACUCGGGUGAAGGAACUAGGCAAAAUGGUACCGUAACUUCGGGAGAAGGUACGCUCUCGACGGUGAAGUCCCUCGCGGAUGGAGCUAUUGAGAGUCGCAGAUACCAGGUGGCUGCAACUGUUUAUUAAAAACACAGCACUGUGCAAAAUCGUAAGAUGACGUAUACGGUGUGACGCCUGCCCGGUGCCGGAAGGUUAAUUGAUGGGGUUAGACUUCGGUCGAAGCUCUUGAUCGAAGCCCCGGUAAACGGCGGCCGUAACUAUAACGGUCCUAAGGUAGCGAAAUUCCUUGUCGGGUAAGUUCCGACCUGCACGAAUGGCGUAAUGAUGGCCACGCUGUCUCCACCCGAGACUCAGUGAAAUUGAAAUCGCUGUGAAGAUGCAGUGUACCCGCGGCUAGACGGAAAGACCCCGUGAACCUUUACUACAGCUUGGCACUGAACAUUGACCCUACAUGUGUAGGAUAGGUGGGAGGCUUUGAAGCACGUACGCCAGUAUGUGUGGAGCCGUCCUUGAAAUACCACCCUUGUAGUGUUGAUGUUCUAACGUCGACCCCUAAUCGGGGUUGCGGACAGUGCCUGGUGGGUAGUUUGACUGGGGCGGUCUCCUCCCAAAGAGUAACGGAGGAGCACGAAGGUGGGCUAAUCACGGUUGGACAUCGUGAGGUUAGUGCAAUGGCAUAAGCCCGCUUGACUGCGAGAAUGACAAUUCGAGCAGGUGCGAAAGCAGGUCAUAGUGAUCCGGUGGUUCUGAAUGGAAGGGCCAUCGCUCAACGGAUAAAAGGUACUCCGGGGAUAACAGGCUGAUACCGCCCAAGAGUUCAUAUCGACGGCGGUGUUUGGCACCUCGAUGUCGGCUCAUCACAUCCUGGGGCUGAAGUCGGUCCCAAGGGUAUGGCUGUUCGCCAUUUAAAGUGGUACGCGAGCUGGGUUUAGAACGUCGUGAGACAGUUCGGUCCCUAUCUGCCGUGGGCGUUGGAAGAUUGAAGGGGGCUGCUCCUAGUACGAGAGGACCGGAGUGGACGAACCUCUGGUGUUCGGGUUGUGUCGCCAGACGCAUUGCCCGGUAGCUAAGUUCGGAAUCGAUAACCGCUGAAAGCAUCUAAGCGGGAAGCGAGCCCUGAGAUGAGUCUUCCCUGAUACUUUAAGUAUCCUAAAGGGUUGUCGGAGACUACGACGUUGAUAGGUCAGGUGUGUAAGUGCUGUGAGGCAUUGAGCUAACUGAUACUAAUUGCCCGUGAGGCUUAACCAUACAACACCCAAGGGGUUU
RNAcentral lists this ribosomal RNA (2918 nucleotides) under Vibrio parahaemolyticus. RNAcentral's name for it is "23S ribosomal RNA". It matches the Rfam family "Bacterial large subunit ribosomal RNA". Lineage: Bacteria; Pseudomonadati; Pseudomonadota; Gammaproteobacteria; Vibrionales; Vibrionaceae. The record is from RNAcentral.